Molecule: transfer RNA, 77 nt
Filed under: Alphaproteobacteria bacterium
Lineage: Bacteria; Pseudomonadati; Pseudomonadota; Alphaproteobacteria
Also listed under: 2 other names
Description: tRNA-Asp
Rfam family: tRNA
About the family: Transfer RNA (tRNA) molecules are approximately 80 nucleotides in length. Their secondary structure includes four short double-helical elements and three loops (D, anti-codon, and T loops).
Source: RNAcentral
GGGGGUGUAGCUCAGUUGGUUAGAGCGUCGCCCUGUCACGGCGAAGGCCGCGGGUUCGAGUCCCGUCACUCCCGCCA